This 496-nucleotide ribosomal RNA is filed under the name uncultured bacterium. Its description in RNAcentral is "partial 16S ribosomal RNA". It matches the Rfam family "Bacterial small subunit ribosomal RNA", at positions 29 to 507 of the family's 1533-position model. The record is from RNAcentral.
ACGCACGCUGGCGGCGUGCCUCAUACAUGCAAGUAGAACGCUGAAGAGAGGAGCUUGCUCUUCUUGGAUGAGUUGCGAACGGGUGAGUAACGCGUAGGUAACCUGCCUUGUAGCGGGGGAUAACUAUUGGAAACGAUAGCUAAUACCGCAUAACAAUGGAUGACCCAUGUCAUUUAUUUGAAAGGGGCAAAUGCUCCACUACAAGGUGGACCUGCGUUGUAUUAGCUAGUAGGUGAGGUAACGGCUCACCUAGGCGACGAUACAUAGCCGACCUGAGAGGGUGAUCGGCCACACUGGGACUGAGACACGGCCCAGACUCCUACGGGAGGCAGCAGUAGGGAAUCUUCGGCAAUGGGGGCAACCCUGACCGAGCAACGCCGCGUGAGUGAAGAAGGUUUUCGGAUCGUAAAGCUCUGUUGUAAGUCAAGAACGAGUGUGAGAGUGGAAAGUUCACACUGUGACGGUAGCUUACCAGAAAGGGACGGCUAACUACGUG